CCUACGGGAGGCUGCAGUGGGGAAUAUUGGACAAUGGGGGGAACCCUGAUCCAGCCAUGCCGCGUGUGUGAAGAAGGCCCUCGGGUUGUAAAGCACUUUCAGUGAGGAAGAACGCCUGGUGGUUAAUACCCAUCAGGAAAGACAUCACUCACAGAAGAAGCACCGGCAAACUCCGUGCCAGCAGCCGCGGUAAUACGGAGGGUGCGAGCGUUAAUCGGAAUUACUGGGCGUAAAGCGCGCGUAGGUGGCUUGAUAAGCCGGUUGUGAAAGCCCCGGGCUCAACCUGGGAACGGCAUCCGGAACUGUCAAGCUAGAGUGCAGGAGAGGAAGGUAGAAUUCCCGGUGUAGCGGUGAAAUGCGUAGAGAUCGGGAGGAAUACCAGUGGCGAAGGCGGCCUUCUGGACUGACACUGACACUGAGGUGCGAAAGCGUGGGUAGCAAACAGGAUUAGAUACCCUUGUAGUC
RNAcentral lists this ribosomal RNA (465 nucleotides) under Vreelandella stevensii. RNAcentral describes it as "partial 16S ribosomal RNA". It matches the Rfam family "Bacterial small subunit ribosomal RNA", at positions 338 to 795 of the family's 1533-position model. Lineage: Bacteria; Pseudomonadati; Pseudomonadota; Gammaproteobacteria; Oceanospirillales; Halomonadaceae. The record is from RNAcentral.